AGAUGUGCUCUCCUGGCCCAUGAAAUCAAGCGUGGGUGAGACCUGGUGCAGAACGGGAAGGCGACCCAUACUUGGUUUCAGAGGCUGUGAGAAUA
Molecule: microRNA precursor, 95 nt
Filed under: Equus caballus (horse)
Lineage: Eukaryota; Metazoa; Chordata; Mammalia; Perissodactyla; Equidae
Description: miRNA (ENSECAG00000025232.2)
Rfam family: mir-551 microRNA precursor family (bases 14-87)
Source: RNAcentral